UCAGGCAUGGUAUAACGGUAACACCGCCUCUAUAGUUGUGGAUCUUUGAACUUGAUUAUGGGGCUGCUCAGGGUUUGAAUCCCUGUGUCUGAA
Molecule: non-coding RNA, 93 nt
Organism: Mycena capillaripes
Lineage: Eukaryota; Fungi; Basidiomycota; Agaricomycetes; Agaricales; Mycenaceae
Source: the annotation of a GenBank genome assembly